GUAGGUUUCUCUGGCACCGGUUCGGGGCCUGCCCGGACCUCGCCGCACGCUGCAGAACCUCGCCCAGCGCCCACCAUGCCCCGGCAGCUCCGCGCGGCGGCCGCGCUCUUCGCGUCCCUGGCCGGGAGAGGAGGAGAGUGGGAA
This 144-nucleotide small RNA is filed under the name Pongo abelii (Sumatran orangutan). Its description in RNAcentral is "processed transcript". The record is from RNAcentral. Lineage: Eukaryota; Metazoa; Chordata; Mammalia; Primates; Hominidae.